UUCAGCUAACAACAUUCACACAGCAUUGUUCCAGCUAUCAGCACUAGCAUCUUCAGCGGCCAUAUUCAGCUAACGGCAUUCACAGUAACAUUAUUGCAGCCCAUGAUUCUGCCGACUCAUCAUUUCCCAGCAGCUGUUCCGCUGCAGCAGAGGAGCUGCUCUCAUCCUCCGGCAUAAAUUCUGCUCCCUGCAUGAUGACAAGCAAGAGACAAAAGGCAGGAGUCGCAUCUUAAACAGGAAGCAAGAAUUUAAAUAAUAAAAAAGCUGGGGGGGAAAUGGGGCUAAUUUCAUGUCAUUUUUAUUCAUUAACACCAACUUUAUAUUGCAAUGAAAUAAAAUAUAUAGAGCUUUGCAUAAAAAAAUGUUUUUUGCUCUAUAAAAAUUGUUACCAGUUGCACAAAAUUCAUUAAAAUCUGAAGGUGUAGAACAAGAAAAGUGUAUUUAAAGACCCAUAAAUCCACACAGGAAACCUAUAGAUAGUUGACACCUUAAAUUAUUUCCAGUUAUUUAAAAAAGAAAGUUUUUUUUUUGAAGUAAAGG
Oryzias melastigma (Indian medaka) is the source of this 540-nucleotide long non-coding RNA. RefSeq lists it as uncharacterized. The transcript has 3 exons. The record is from RefSeq and is a predicted model, not a curated record. NCBI's taxonomy places the organism in Eukaryota, Metazoa, Chordata, Actinopteri, Beloniformes, Adrianichthyidae.